This 2166-nucleotide long non-coding RNA is filed under the name Canis lupus familiaris (dog). RNAcentral's name for it is "lncRNA (ENSCAFG00000056118.1)". The record is from RNAcentral. Lineage: Eukaryota; Metazoa; Chordata; Mammalia; Carnivora; Canidae.
CCCUCCUUAAUGCCCAUCACCCAGUGACCCCAUUCCCCCACUUAUCUCUCCUCCAGCAACCCUUUUUGUUUCCUAUAGUUAAGAGUUUCUUAUGGCUUUUCUCCCUCUCUGAUUUCAUCUUGUUUUAUUUUUUCCUCUUUCUCCUAUGAUCCUCUGUUUUGUUUCUUAAGUUCCACAUAUGAAUGAGAUCAUAUGAUAAUUGUCUUUCUCUGAUUGACUUGUUUCGCUUAGCAUAAUACCCUCUGGUUCUAUCCACAUCAUGGCAAUUGGUAAUAUAUCAUUUUCUUUUUUAUGGCUGAGUAAUAUUCUAUUAUUCACAUCUUCUUUAUCCAUUCAUCUGUUGAUGUGCAUCUGGGCUCUUCCAUAGUUUGGCUAUUGUGUACAUUGCUGCCAUAAAUGGUGGUUUAUAAGUAUCCCUGGGAUCAUUGUGUUUGUAUCCUUUGGGUAAAUACCUAGUAGUGGAAUUCUUGGGUCAUAGGCUAGUUCAUUUUUAACUUUUUACAGAACCUCCAUACUGUUUUCUACUGUCUAUACUACUUGCAUUCCCACCAACAACAUAAGAGGGCUCCCCUUUCUCUGCAUUCUUGUCAACAUCUGUUGUUUCCUGACUUGUUAAUUUUAGCCUUUCUGACUAGUAUGAGGUGGUUUCUCAUCGUGAUUUUGAUUUCUAUUGUCCUGAUGCCAAGUGGCAUUGAGCAUUUUUUCAGGUGUUUUUUGACCAUUUAUAUGUUUUUGGAGAAAUAUCUGUUCCUGUGUUCUGCUCAUUUCUUGACUGGAUUAUUUGUUUUUUGGGUGUUGAGUUUGAGAAGUUCUUUAAGAUUCUUGGAUACUAACCCUUUAUCUGAUAAGACAUUUGCAAAUAUCUUCUCCCAUUCUCUAGAUUGUCUUUUGUUUCUGUGGAUUAUUUCCUUUGCUAUGCAAAGCUUUUUAUUUUGAUGAAGUCCCAGUACUUCAUUUUUACUUUUGUUUCCCUUGCCUCUGGAGAAGUGUCUAGCAAGAAGUUGCUGUGGUAGAAGGUUGCUGCCUGUGUUCUCCUCUAGGAUUUUGUUGGAUUCCUGUCUUACAUUUGGGUCUUUCGUCCAUUUUGAGUUUUUGUGUGUGUGUGGUGUAAGAAAAUGGUCCAGCCUUUCUUCAUUUUUAAUUGGAUUGUUUUAUUAUUAUUGAUUUCUUAUUGGAACUCUUUUAAAAACAGGGUUGUUAUUUUUUUCUAUUCUGCAUAAUGCAGCUAUCUUAUUCCAGUAUAGUAUAUGUCCUUUAACAGUAGUUUGUAGAAAAAUUUUUUGCAAAGGAUUUUUUUUCUAUUUUUAAUCAGUCCUUUAUAGCGUAUGGUUUUCUGUUAUGUUUAUGACAGCCAUUUAUUUUUAAUGAUUUAUUUAUUUAUUUAUUUGAGAGAGAGCAGGAGCAGGGGGAGGGGCAGAGGAAAAGGGAGAGAAGCAGACUCCCCACUGAGCCCAGAGCCCCAGGCCGCUGGAUCUGAAGACAAGCCAAAACCAAGAGUCGGAUGCUUAACUUACUGAGCCACCCAGGUGUCCCUUCAGCAGCCUUUCUUACCCCAAGAUUAUAAACUGUUAUUCCAUAUUUUUCUUAUGAAUGAUAUUUAUUUUUUAACUAGUUUUAAAAAAAUAGAAAAAACAAUACGAUAAUUGCUAAUAUACAUUAAGGGUGUUUACUGUGUGGCAGGCAAUUUCCUAGAAUCUUUGCAUCCACUAAUCCAUUUAAUCUUCAAAACUAUCUGAUAAGUUUAGGUUUUUCUGACACUGUGGGUAAGGACAUUGAAGCACAAAAAGAUGAAGAGGUUACUCAGCAGGUAUGUAGUGAGUCGGGAAUCAAGCCUUUGCAGUCACCUGUUCAGCCUUUUUCGUAAAUCAUAAUGAAUUACUCGCCAAUGCAAGCAGGUUGACUUAAGAAUUUUUAUUUGAAUAUCUCUGUUUCCAGCAUUAUUGGAUUGCGUUCUGUGGGGGAAUAUGGCAAACGUGUAAGCGCCUCUUCCUUUCACAUGGAAUGCAGAACUAAGAAAGUUGCGUCCUAACUUGAAAGCAAAGAAAAGCAAAUAAGGUAGAUCAAACAAUCAGAAAACAAAUUGUAUACUUCAGAAAUGAGAAGCUCUUGGUGAUAAAAUUCACAGGGUAUACAGCAAGAAGAUUUUGGUUUUGGAAGUCAUCCUUA